UGUAUAUGCAUAGCUGGUAAAGGGGCUGGGGCACCUGCAUGCUUCCCUGAAUGUGUAUUCCCUCUUGCUAGCACACAGAUGUUAAACAGCAGAGCAAGCAAUGUCUUGUUCAACUCUCUAGAGCCCCUUUACAUGCUGACUUGUAUGUUAUGACACUUAGACCUUUGAAACUAAUCCACUACACUGAAUUGUAAGACUCCAAUUUGCUGAUGAGGUAAGAGAAGCAAAGAUAAGUGAAGAUCAGUGAAAGAGCCAGGAGGAGAAUUCAGUAGCCACAGCCCAGCAUAUCAAUAGAUGUUUCACAUCUUUAAAGCUGAGAACAUCAGAUGUGUUCUCUGGGACAGGGGCAAUCUUCUUGGUGUAUCUGUACCUUGUGUAGCAUGGAGGAGUCCUGGUUCACUGGUUAAGGCUCCUGUUGCUUCCACAGGGUGAAUAGCAGUAUUUCACCAAGUCAGAGCCAUUGUUGACUGUCAGAACACCACAUUUCAGAGCCGGAAUGGUCUGAGCAAAGGGUAAAUGUCAGUGCUGCAUCUUUCCUGACCCAUCAUUUUUCUGGUUAUGAGCCAGACAUCCCCUUGUCUCUGCAGUGCACUGGUAAGAAGGAGGACAAGGUCAUUCAGACUUCAGUGCCUCUGUCUCAUUGUGUUUCUCUGAGCUGUGAGCAGCCUGGGACUUUGUGUAAGGCCUUAAUGAGGCCCAAGCAAAAGUUGACUUAAAAAAUAAAAAAUUCCUUUAUGAUGUGUGCUGCAGAGCAACAAAUGGAUAAUAAAAGGGCUGGAGACUGGAGGCAAAUCCUCCCUUUAGGUUAAGGGAAAUUAAGUCCUUUGGGGGAUGUGUAAUGUAUGAGGCUUCAUUAUUCUUCUCGGGACAAGCAAUGUAUGAUCCCUUGGUCAGAGAGAUGAAAGGAUCAUAAACUCAAAUGGCUCCACAUAGUCCAUGUGACUCAGACAGCACCAGAGAAUCUGCUGGAGGUAACUAUACAGAGCUCAGCCUGCCUUGUGCUGUAAAAGCUGUUCCCAUGAUGCUGGGAAUCAUAUUGUCCUGAUGCUUUCGUGUCCUCUCAGGGCAGGUGGACACAUACUGUCUGCAUGGAUGGUUAGCUGGGAGAGGGUCUUCUGGAGGCAAGUAAAAGGCCACAGAAGAAACACGUAUCAGGAAUAAACCCAGGUCAAGAAGUCUCUAACCCCUCCUGCACAGUCCCAGGUACUGGCUCUUCUCCUGUGCAGUCUUUCUGGCUGCCCCAGCUCAAGCCUACCUCUGCUUUCCUCCCUGACCUCCACUCCCAUCUCUCUUGCACAUACUAAGUCUUAUCCAUGUUGUGAUGCCCUAAUACAUUUGUUGUCCCUGCUCCCAGCUUCUGAAUCCCUUUGCUAUAAUCAGCGUGACUCAGAACAACAUCCCUGGAGCAAAAAGAAAUAAUGUGCCUUGUUCUGCUGCUCCCUAUUCAAAGGUAAAUUGAUUUUCUGCCCUCCGAGAGCAGAUGCUCACGUCUUUUUCUUUGCCUCUCUCCCUGCUCUCUACCAGAUUUAGGAGAAAUCACAUUCUGGGUUUUUUUUGUGGAGUUUGGGGAUGGAGAGAAGUUGUGUUAUUGGGAGCUUGCCAUAUGUCUUAUUAUUGAGUUGUAGAUCAAAGACAAUGUAUGGUCCUGUACUUGUUGUACCACUGCACGGGGGAGUGUGUGUGUCUGUGCAUCUUUUGAGCUUACCCUCUAUAUUUCUGCCAUACUUGUAGAUUCUAGACACUUGUAUCUCAGUGUGUGCCCCUUUGUGUGUGCUAAGCUGUUGUACAUGUAUUUAUCUGGGCUCAGGUGUAUAUAUGGGCCUUGUGUAAGAAUCUUGUGUGUUCCUGUGACUUGCUACAUCCCUAAGUCCUUGUUGGUCCCUGGUAUGUGUGCCUAUACCUCACUGUUAGGCGGAGCAGGUUGGCUCCUGCUGAGGAGUCAGCACUAGGUUUGAGUACAAACUCUAGUGCCAUACAGUGAAAUGCUGCAGCUUGCUUUAGAUUUAAGUACAGGGCAUCACUUUUCUCCUUUGUAUUGGAGCUGGGAUUGAUUCCUUGUGCCAGUGACGUCUCCCUAGCAAUAAAAUGUCCUUGCCACCCAAGCCAUCCAGUCCUCAUACCUGGAAGUGAUUGACACCUACCACAAAGCUCUACAGUUAGGAAAUGGGAAAGCAAUUUCUGCUGGUUGACACCAGAAAGCCCUGCUCAGCUGUGGGAGAUACCCUAAUCUGUGGCUUUAAAGCUGGACCAACUGAUAUUUUUCAUACCUGUCGUCUUGUUUUACAUCUGUGACUCUGCAGUUCUGGGGAAUCCUCGUGGAUUUUCCACUCUUGGCUUACUCUGUCUCCAUCUUUUCCCUUUUUCUGCUCUUUCUGCCUCUGCAAAGAUGUCACCAUGAUGAAGCUCCUGAUGGAUCCCUGGGUGACUCGCACCCAGUGGUGAUGGAUUGCUGCUCUCUGUGCUGCACGCUCCAGCUGUCUGCAGUUCAGCUGCUGGAUUGACAGGGCCUAUGAAUCACUCUUGGAAGGCAAAGUGCUCUGAGAGCUCUGGCCCCGUUUGCAGUGUGCUGAUGUGACACAGCCUCACAGAAACCAUUUACACGUGGACUGGGGUGGAUGUGGAUCUUGGAGCCAACUGCCAGGCUCUCAUGUGCCCCUCUUUGGGUUUGAGGAGGCUGGGUUAGAAGGGCUGAGAACAUACUGCUUCCCCUGUGUUUCUGCUGUUUUCCUUCUGUGUAUGCAGUGUUUCACAGAACUGAAAAAGGAAGGAGCUAUGAUCUGAAGAAAUUGUAGAGGAGAAUUGGGACAGUGGAUGAUACGGAGUAUGAGCUGAAGGGCACAGAGAAGAAGGAGCCCUGGGAGAACAAAAGGGGAAUUCCAGCAAGGCAAGCAGGUGAAGCUGCUCAUUCCACUGUUCCAGGAUCCAAGACACUUGAUCAGUGCAUGUCUCCAGGAAUUUGCCAAAGUUGUCCUUGGAAGGACCUGCAGCAGUAGUACUUCAUCCUCCUGAUGCAUGUGCCCCCUGUGCACCAUGGGUCUAGCACAGACACCAUCAGUCAUUCCUGAAAAGCAU
Molecule: long non-coding RNA, 3072 nt
Organism: Pezoporus occidentalis (night parrot)
Lineage: Eukaryota; Metazoa; Chordata; Aves; Psittaciformes; Psittacidae
Exons: 2
Source: RefSeq, a predicted model, not a curated record